Phrynosoma platyrhinos (Desert horned lizard) is the source of this 72-nucleotide non-coding RNA. NCBI's taxonomy places the organism in Eukaryota, Metazoa, Chordata, Lepidosauria, Squamata, Phrynosomatidae. The record is from the annotation of a GenBank genome assembly.
UCCAGUGUGGUAUAGUGGUUUGAGCACCGGACUACGAUUCUGGAGACCAGGACUCGAAUCCCUGCUCUGCCA